This 63-nucleotide transfer RNA is filed under the name Sphaerius sp. BT0074. RNAcentral describes it as "tRNA-Cys". The record is from RNAcentral. Lineage: Eukaryota; Metazoa; Arthropoda; Insecta; Coleoptera; Sphaeriusidae.
GGUUUUAUAUUCAAAAAUGAUUUUAAAUUGCAAAUUUAAAGGUAGAAUUUAAUCUUAAAACCU